This 467-nucleotide ribosomal RNA is filed under the name uncultured bacterium. RNAcentral's name for it is "partial 16S ribosomal RNA". It matches the Rfam family "Bacterial small subunit ribosomal RNA", at positions 28 to 506 of the family's 1533-position model. The record is from RNAcentral.
GACGAACGCUGGCGGCGUGCUUAGCACAUGCAAGUCGAACGGAAAGGCCCUGCUUUUGUGGGGUGCUCGAGUGGCGAACGGGUGAGUAACACGUGAGUAACCUGCCCUUGACUUUGGGAUAACUUCAGGAAACUGGGGCUAAUACCGGAUAGGAGCUCCUGCUGCAUGGUGGGGGUUGGAAAGUUUCGGCGGUUGGGGAUGGACUCGCGGCUUAUCAGCUUGUUGGUGGGGUAGUGGCUUACCAAGGCUUUGACGGGUAGCCGGCCUGAGAGGGUGACCGGCCACAUUGGGACUGAGAUACGGCCCAGACGCCUACGGGAGGCAGCAGUGGGGAAUAUUGCACAAUGGGCGGAAGCCUGAUGCAGCAACGCCGCGUGCGGGAUGACGGCCUUCGGGUUGUAAACCGCUUUCGCCUGUGACGAAGCGUGAGUGACGGUAAUGGGGAAAGAAGCACCGGCUAACUACGU